GGUUGACCAUCAUAGGGUCGACUGUUGUUCAGUAUCAUCGCAGACUUAUAUAUGUCUGUGUUUAGGAUCACAAGAUAAGAUCUUGUAAGUUCUCGUCCAUCAAAAUCCAGUUCGGCUUUAUAUCUCACUAAAUUAUUACCCAUGUCAAUGCCUUUCACAUCAUGAAUCGCACGAAUCUGCGAAAUGUGUACAAACUUCAGCGUUAAUUUUAUCGAGAUUCUCUUGCGAUAUACUCCUUCCUACAAGUGCAGCAACGUUCGAGUAGAUUAUAAAAGAC
This is a long non-coding RNA of Trachymyrmex septentrionalis, 277 nucleotides long. RefSeq lists it as uncharacterized. The record is from RefSeq and is a predicted model, not a curated record. NCBI's taxonomy places the organism in Eukaryota, Metazoa, Arthropoda, Insecta, Hymenoptera, Formicidae. The transcript is spliced from 3 exons.